Anas platyrhynchos (mallard) is the source of this 836-nucleotide non-coding RNA. The record is from RefSeq and is a predicted model, not a curated record. Lineage: Eukaryota; Metazoa; Chordata; Aves; Anseriformes; Anatidae.
AACACAUCAAAUUAGAGCUAAUGAAGAAAUUACUGUCCUCAGUAGGACUGGACUGUGAAAGCCUGAUGUAUAUUUUACUUUAACUGGAGUAGAAGAUUCAAAACGCUAUGACUAGUGUCUUCCCAAACCCUGUGUUACCCACAGAGAGAAGCAUAUGCAGAAGGUGCUAUUGAAAUUAGUCUUAAAAAAAAAAAAGCAUUACUUUCAACAAGCAACAAAAAAUAACCAAGUAAAGCUAGAUGGUCUCUUGGCUCCACCCUUGUGAAGUGAAACCUGCCAGGUGUGGAUCAUUUGACUUUUGCUAUAUAGGAAGCCUGAGGACUUGUGGGGAAUUGCCUUCCUAGUGGGGAGUUUGAGGCUCAGGUUCUCUAGGGUGCUUUUCUGCUGUUGUGGUGAAGCGGAUUCAGUGUUCCCUGGUGGGCUGCUUUUUCUUCACGUUUUCUCCCAUCUCUGUGAAAUAGUUUCAGUGACUCUAUGAGUUAGCGAUGUUGUUGUUGCCCUCUCAGUGUGGUGAGACCCUGGUGGUGCAAAGUCACUGUGAAGCAGUGUGGAAGUGACUCAAGUUCAGGAGCUGGCAGUGAAAUUACUUCCGUGGCUUCUAAGCUCCCUUUCAAGCUCUUCCAAAUAUAAUGAUAAUGAAAGCUAAGAAGAAAGCCCCACCAACUCAGAAGCUCAAGUGCUUACAGGCCUGCGUCUCGGCUGUGGAGAAAGAUUUGGAAGAUCGCGCUGAGGGUCACAUCGCUGAGGUUCCCGCGCCGAGGUGUCGUGGUUUAACCCGGCCGGCAGCUAAACACCACGCAGCUGUUCGCUCACCCUCUCCCCUCCCUCUCUGGGAC